AUAGCAUCCUGUCCAACAACAGCAGCUAGAGGAAAAUACUGUCUACCAAAAGAAUUAUUCUGGGGUUUCUUUUCCGGUUCUUCUGCUUCAGCAACAACAGCUCCAUUAGGUGAAUCAAUAGUAGCAGUAGCAUUUAUACUAAACCGAAAUUUCAACCGUUUUCGAUUCGGAAAACAAGUUGAAGAUAGAAUUGGGCAUGGUUUCAAAUAUGUGAAUAAUGUUGAUGAUUGAGAACUUGAUAGUGAUGUAUAUGUUACAGUUGAAGUACA
This 269-nucleotide unclassified non-coding RNA is filed under the name Hevea brasiliensis (rubber tree). The record is from RNAcentral. Lineage: Eukaryota; Viridiplantae; Streptophyta; Magnoliopsida; Malpighiales; Euphorbiaceae.